Molecule: ribosomal RNA, 465 nt
Filed under: uncultured bacterium
Lineage: Bacteria
Description: partial 16S ribosomal RNA
Rfam family: Bacterial small subunit ribosomal RNA
Source: RNAcentral
CUACGGGCCGCAGCAGUGAGGAAUUUUGCGCAAUGGGGGGAACCCUGACGCAGCAACGCCGCGUGAGCGAUGAAGUCUUUCGGGUCGUAAAGCUCUGUCAAGUGGGAAGAACCUAUGCAGUGUUAAUAUCACUGUAUACUGACGGUACCACUGAAGGAAGCACCGGCUAACUCCGUGCCAGCAGCCGCGGUAAUACGGGGGGUGCAAGCGUUAUUCGGAAUCAUUGGGCGUAAAGGGCACGUAGGCGGCUUGGUAAGUCAGAUGUGAAAGCCCGGGGCUUAACGCCGGAAGUGCAUUUGAUACUGUCAGGCUUGGGUAUGGGAGAGGGAAGUGGAAUUCCUGGUGUAGAGGUGACAUUCGUAGAUAUCAGGAGGAACACCGGUGGCGAAGGCGACUUCCUGGACAAAUACUGACGCUGAGGUGCGAAGGCGUGGGUAGCAAACAGGAUUAGAUACCCCCGUAGUC